This 438-nucleotide ribosomal RNA is filed under the name uncultured Allobrachymonas sp. RNAcentral's name for it is "bacterial SSU rRNA". It matches the Rfam family "Bacterial small subunit ribosomal RNA", at positions 939 to 1382 of the family's 1533-position model. Lineage: Bacteria; Pseudomonadati; Pseudomonadota; Betaproteobacteria; Burkholderiales; Comamonadaceae. The record is from RNAcentral.
AUGUGGUUUAAUUCGAUGCAACGACGAAAACCUUACCCACCUUGACAUGGCAGGAAUCCCAAAGAGAUUUGGGAGUGCUCGAAAGAGGACCUGCACACAGGUGCUGCAUGGCUGUCGUCAGCUCGUGUCGUGAGAUGUUGGGUUAAGUCCCGCAACGAGCGCAACCCUUGCCAUUAGUUGCUACGAAAGGGCACUCUAAUGGGACUGCCGGUGACAAACCGGAGGAAGGUGGGGAUGACGUCAAGUCCUCAUGGCCCUUAUAGGUGGGGCUACACACGUCAUACAAUGGAUGGUACAAAGGGUCGCCAACCCGCGAGGGGGAGCCAAUCCCAUAAAGCCAUUCGUAGUCCGGAUCGCAGUCUGCAACUCGACUGCGUGAGGUCGGAAUCGCUAGUAAUCGCGAAUCAGCAUGUCGCGGUGAAUACGUUCCCGGGUCUU